CCUACGGGUGGCUGCAGUGAGGAAUAUUGGUCAAUGGGCGGAAGCCUGAACCAGCCAAGUAGCGUGCGGGAUGAAGGCCCUACGGGUCGUAAACCGCUUUUGCACGGGGAUAACACCCUCCACUUGUGGAGGUCUGCAGGUACCGUGCGAAUAAGGGCCGGCUAAUUCCGUGCCAGAAGCCGCGGUAAUACGGAAGGCCCGGGCGUUAUCCGGAUUCAUUGGGGUUAAAGGGAGCGUAGGCGGGCGUUCAAGUCCGCUGUAAAAUCGCGCGGCUAAAACGCGCACCGCAGUUGAAACUGGACGCCUUGAGUGCACAACAGGCAGGCGGAAUUCGUGGUGUAGCGGUGAAAUGCAUAGAUAGCACGAGGAACACCGAUUGCGAAGGCAGCCUGCCGGGGUGCGACUGACGCUGAGGCUCGAAGGUGCGGGUAUCAAACAGGAUUAGAUACCCUUGUAGUG
This 459-nucleotide ribosomal RNA is filed under the name uncultured bacterium. RNAcentral describes it as "partial 16S ribosomal RNA". It matches the Rfam family "Bacterial small subunit ribosomal RNA", at positions 338 to 795 of the family's 1533-position model. The record is from RNAcentral.